GUAGGUGAACCUGCGGAAGGAUCAUUAGUGAAUUUUAGGGCAUCUACUCGAUAGAGCCUGACCUCCACUUUCUAACUCUGUGCACUCAUUUGGCGGAAGGAUAUUGGGCAAACUUGCUUGCAAGGAGGCUCUCUAGACAUCUGCGGCUUACUUUAAACAUUAGUCAAAGUAUGUAACGAAAUAUAAAAACAAAAACUUUCAACAACGGAUCUCUUGGCUCUCGCAUCGAUGAAGAACGCAGCAUCUGACU
RNAcentral lists this unclassified non-coding RNA (250 nucleotides) under plant metagenome. RNAcentral describes it as "partial contains small subunit ribosomal RNA, internal transcribed spacer 1, and 5.8S ribosomal RNA". The stretch from base 194 to 250 matches the Rfam family "5.8S ribosomal RNA", at positions 1 to 54 of the family's 154-position model. The record is from RNAcentral.